RNAcentral lists this ribosomal RNA (250 nucleotides) under uncultured bacterium. Its description in RNAcentral is "partial 16S ribosomal RNA". It matches the Rfam family "Bacterial small subunit ribosomal RNA", at positions 524 to 773 of the family's 1533-position model. The record is from RNAcentral.
UACGGAGGGCGCAAGCGUUACUCGGAAUCACUGGGCGUAAAGGACGCGUAGGCGGGUUGUCAAGUCAGGUGUGAAAUCCUACAGCUUAACUGUAGAACUGCACUUGAAACUGGCAACCUAGAGUAUGGGAGGGGGAGAUGGAAUUAGUGGUGUAGGGGUAAAAUCCGUAGAUAUCACUAGGAAUACCUAAAGCGAAGGCGAUCUCCUGGAACAUUACUGACGCUAAGGCGUGAAAGCGUGGGGAGCAAAC